UACGGGGGGGGCAAGCGUUGUUCGGAAUUACUGGGCGUAAAGGGCUCGUAGGCGGCCAACUAAGUCAGACGUGAAAUCCCUCGGCUUAACCGGGGAACUGCAUCUGAUACUGGAUGGCUUGAGUUCGGGAGAGGGAUGCGGAAUUCCAGGUGUAGCGGUGAAAUGCGUAAAUAUCUGGAGGAACACCGGUGGCGAAGGCGGCAUCCUGGACCGGCAUUGACGCUGAGGCGCGAAAGCUAGGGGAGCAAACGGG
RNAcentral lists this ribosomal RNA (253 nucleotides) under uncultured bacterium. RNAcentral's name for it is "partial 16S ribosomal RNA". It matches the Rfam family "Bacterial small subunit ribosomal RNA", at positions 524 to 776 of the family's 1533-position model. The record is from RNAcentral.